GAUGAACGCUGGCGGCGUGCCUAAUACAUGCAAGUCGAGCGAACAGAUGAUGCGCUUGUUCCUUUCACGUUAUCGGCGGACGGGUUUAUAACAUGUGGAUCACCUCCUUAUAUUUCUGAGAACUCUUCGAGACACCGGCGCUAAUACCGGAUCAUCUAUUGAUCCGCAUGGUUCAUUAGUGAAAGACGGUUUUUCUGUAACUUCUAGCUGGAUCCGGGCCGCAUUAGGUAGUUGGUAAGGUAACGGCUUACUAAGGCAACGAUGCGUAUCCGACCUGAGAGGGGGAUCGGCCACACUGGAGCGGAGACACGGUCCAGAGUACUACGGGAGGCAGCAGUAUGGAAUCUUCCGCAAUGGUCGAAAGCCUGACGGAGCAGCGGCGCGUGAGUUAUGGAGGUCUUCGGAGCGUAAAACUCUGUUAUUAGGGAAGAACAGAUUUGUAAGUAACUAUGCACGGCUUGACGGUACCGAAUCAGAAAGCCACGGCUAACUACGUG
This 497-nucleotide ribosomal RNA is filed under the name uncultured bacterium. RNAcentral's name for it is "partial 16S ribosomal RNA". It matches the Rfam family "Bacterial small subunit ribosomal RNA", at positions 28 to 507 of the family's 1533-position model. The record is from RNAcentral.